GGCGGCUCAUAGGAUGGCAAGGUGGUAUAUGUCAUUGAAAACUAACGUGUCGUUGCGGAUUGCAAAUCCGUUUACAGCGGUUCGAUUCCGCUUGAGGCCUCCA
Molecule: transfer RNA, 103 nt
Filed under: Stenotrophomonas maltophilia
Lineage: Bacteria; Pseudomonadati; Pseudomonadota; Gammaproteobacteria; Lysobacterales; Lysobacteraceae
Also listed under: 2 other names
Description: tRNA-OTHER
Source: RNAcentral